UGAACCUGCGGAAGGAUCAUUACCGAGUGCGGGCCCUCUGGGUCCAACCUCCCAUCCGUGUCUAUCUGUACCCUGUUGCUUCGGCGUGGCCACGGCCCGCCGGAGACUAACAUUUGAACGCUGUCUGAAGUUUGCAGUCUGAGUUUUUAGUUAAACAAUCGUUAAAACUUUCAACAACGGAUCUCUUGGUUCCGGCAUCGAUGAAGAACGCAGCGAAAUGCGAUAAUUAAUGUGAAUUGCAGAAUUCAGUGAAUCAUCGAGUCUUUGAACGCACAUUGCGCCCCCUGGUAUUCCGGGGGGCAUGCCUGUCCGAGCGUCAUUGCUGCCCUCAAGCACGGCUUGUGUGUUGGGCUUCCGUCCCUGGCAACGGGGACGGGCCCAAAAGGCAGUGGCGGCACCAUGUCUGGUCCUCGAGCGUAUGGGGCUUUGUCACCCGCUCCCGUAGGUCCAGCUGGCAGCUAGCCUCGCAACCAAUCUUUUUAACCAGGUUGACCUCGGAUCAGGUAGGGAUACCCGCUGAACUUAAGCAUAUCAAU
Molecule: ribosomal RNA, 536 nt
Filed under: Aspergillus amstelodami
Lineage: Eukaryota; Fungi; Ascomycota; Eurotiomycetes; Eurotiales; Aspergillaceae
Description: eukaryotic LSU rRNA
Rfam family: 5.8S ribosomal RNA (bases 166-319)
Source: RNAcentral